GCCGCCAUUGCUGCUGCCUGAAGCCGGCUGGUCCGUGAGUUUUCUUUUCUGUUCAAUUUUUUCUGCCAAUACCUACUAUAUUUUGGAUUUUAUAUGUUACCCACACAAAGUUAUUUCAGAUUUGUUUGAAUUUAUCGCUGAGAUGCAACCAGAUCUGAGGAAGAACAAAAUAUAGGUAAUAUUGAAUAGAAAUCGAAGAAGGGGAAGAGAAGAAACGAUGAAGAGUUAAAAUGCAAAGGUUUCAGUGAAAUGGAUUCCCGUUUUCUCCCUUUGUUUCUUCAUUAUUGGCAUGGUUUUCACCAGCAAUACGUGUUUGUACCGAGAAUUAUUGAUUUUUUUCCCUAAAACUUUGGGGGAUUUAGCUGUAAUUUAUACCGUUUGUUUUUAUUUUUUGUCUUGCUUUGAAUUUGCAGAUUUUGUGGUUCGUUGGAAUCGAAUAAUCAGCUCAUAACUCAACAAAGAAUUAUGAGCAACAUUAUUGGUAUCUAGAAUUUUCUAUCUGGAAUUUGUUGAGCAGCUUUCCUUCUUAUUUAUUUUAAAUCUGUAUGGAUUUUACAUAAGCAUUUUAUGGUGCCUGAAACUGAAAAUUUGUGUUUUCGAAGUUAUCUGUGUCGAAUGAGGCUGUUUCUAGAAGUGUGAAGUCGAUGUUCAAAGCUUGGGAGCAGCGGCUUAACUCUUCAGAGGUACUCCAUGAUUUGCUGAGUUUUGGUUAUUGAUAUGUUUUUCCUUGAAUUGAAGAUAUGAGUUCAUAUUUAAGCGGUGAAAUAUGUUUG
Molecule: long non-coding RNA, 773 nt
Filed under: Salvia miltiorrhiza (redroot sage)
Lineage: Eukaryota; Viridiplantae; Streptophyta; Magnoliopsida; Lamiales; Lamiaceae
Description: long non-coding RNA (SMIL_LNC000561)
Source: RNAcentral